RNAcentral lists this long non-coding RNA (821 nucleotides) under Mus musculus (house mouse). Its description in RNAcentral is "long non-coding RNA chr15:77014023-77014844". The record is from RNAcentral. Lineage: Eukaryota; Metazoa; Chordata; Mammalia; Rodentia; Muridae.
GCAGAGCUCUAAGCUCGCUUCUAUUUUUACCUCCAAGGUUUGUCGAGAUUUGCUCGAUGAAUGCAGGGCAGACGACAAAUGCCUAGCCCUCCUCUGCAGCUGGAGCCAGGAGUGUCGCUGACAGGAAUGUUGAUGAACGCCUAACAGCUGGAGAAGAGCCAGCUCCGUCAGCCCCUAGGAAGAUCACAUGUCAGGAAGAGCCCAUUGUCUGACAGUCAAUGAAAUUUCUAUAAGGUAAGGGCAGAACCUCACCUACGAAUGCAGGCAUCACCACCACCACCAUUAUCAUCAUCAAUCAUCAAUUAUUAUUAGUAUUGUGUAUUGUGUGUGCAUGUGUGGCAUGAUUUUAUGUGUGGACACACAGACACCCGCGCGUGCAUCCACGGUGGAAGUCAGAGGACAAUUUCAUGAAGCCGGAUGUCUUCUUCUGUCUUCCCGUGGGUCAGACUCAGGUCACCGUGCGGUGAAAAGACAUCCUUCCCUCUGGCUGUAAGACUAAUAAGGCAACGGACUCCUCCAGAUUGUGAUCUCAUGUCAGGAAGGAAAGAGUUGAAAUUUGGUCCAGCCAGAGGAGACACUUGUCAGCCAGGAAGAGAUUCCACAUAGUUUGGACAUCUGUCAGGCCCCUUAUGGAUCGGAGGAGAGGAGAGACUAUUUCUCAGCUGGUUCUGCUCAGCUAUGAAUGCCUCUGGCCAGCUCUGCAUUUUAACUUCACCUCAUGUUAGGACCCUGAAGCUGGGUUGGGGCUGGGGAGCACUGAGCCUCUCUGUCCUCUUCCAGGUGUGUCCACACUGAAUAAACCCCUUUCUCUGCUUCUCAGU